Molecule: ribosomal RNA, 638 nt
Filed under: Carabus galicianus galicianus
Lineage: Eukaryota; Metazoa; Arthropoda; Insecta; Coleoptera; Carabidae
Description: eukaryotic LSU rRNA
Rfam family: Eukaryotic large subunit ribosomal RNA
Source: RNAcentral
AGUCUAGCAUGUGCGCGAGUCAUUGGGACUCAAUAAACCUAAAGGCACAAUGAAAGUGAAAGUCUGUUGACGCGGACUUAGGGAGGAUAGAUGCGUAGCACAUCUGUGUGUACAACCUCGCACUCCCGGGGCGUCUCGCACUCAUUGCGAGGUGGGGCGCACCAAGAGCGUACACGCUGGGACCCGAAAGAUGGUGAACUAUGCCUGGUCAGGACGAAGUCAGGGGAAACCCUGAUGGAGGUCCGUAGCGAUUCUGACGUGCAAAUCGAUCGUCGGAACUGGGCUUAGGGGCGAAAGACUAAUCGAACCAUCUAGUAGCUGGUUCCCACCGAAGUUUCCCUCAGGAUAGCUGGCAUUAGAUUAUGGAUGAGUCUCAUCCGGUAAAGCGAAUGAUUAGAGGCAUUGGGGUCGAAACGGCCUCAACCUAUUCUCAAACUUUAAAUGGGUGAGAUCUCCGGCUUGCUCGAUUUAUGAAGCCGGAGAUCGGAUCAAUUAGUGCCAAGUGGGCCACUUUUGGUAAGCAGAACUGGCGCUGUGGGAUGAACCAAACGCAGAGUUAAAGCGCCAAAAUCGACGCUUAUGGGAUACCAUGAAAGGCGUUGGUAACUUAAGACAGCAGGACGGUGGCCAUGGAAGUC